AAUAGAGGUAAAGCGCCUGAACUCAAGCCGGUGUUCUGGUCUGACGGCUUGAGUUGACGAGGAAGGGGUUUAUCGAGUUAUUCGGCGGGUACCCCUCGGUUGACACGACCGUUAAAGGCAGCCAAAACCGGGCAGUGAUGCGCGGGACAAAUGCUGCCAGGUGGAAAAA
Regulatory RNA element from Thermincola sp., 169 nucleotides. It matches the Rfam family "glmS glucosamine-6-phosphate activated ribozyme aptamer". From Rfam's summary of the family: This entry contains a glucosamine-6-phosphate activated ribozyme that is found in the mRNA for GlmS. The record is from Rfam. Lineage: Bacteria; Bacillati; Bacillota; Clostridia; Eubacteriales; Thermincolaceae.